Molecule: ribosomal RNA, 465 nt
Filed under: uncultured bacterium
Lineage: Bacteria
Description: SSU rRNA
Rfam family: Bacterial small subunit ribosomal RNA
Source: RNAcentral
AGAAUCAACGCUGGCGGCGUGCCUAACACAUGCAAGUCGCACGAGAAAGGGACUUCGGUCCUGAGUACAGUGGCGCACGGGUGAGUAACACGUGAAUAAUCUACCUCCGAGUGGGGAAUAACUGAGAGAAAUCUUAGCUAAUACCGCAUAACACUUACGAGUCAAAGCAGCAAUGCGCUUGGAGAGGAGUUCGCGGCAGAUUAGUUAGUUGGCGGGGUAAUGGCCCACCAAGACGAUGAUCUGUAUCCGGCCUGAGAGGGCGCACGGACACACUGGAACUGAAACACGGUCCAGACUCCUACGGGAGGCAGCAGUGGGGAAUUUUGCGCAAUGGGGGAAGCCCUGACGCAGCAACGCCGCGUGGAGGAUGAAAUCCCUUGGGAUGUAAACUCCUUUCGAUCGGGAAGAUAAUGACGGUACCGAGAGAAGAAGCCCCGGCUAACUUCGUGCCAGCAGCCGCGGUAA